This 406-nucleotide ribosomal RNA is filed under the name uncultured bacterium. RNAcentral's name for it is "partial 16S ribosomal RNA". It matches the Rfam family "Bacterial small subunit ribosomal RNA", at positions 29 to 526 of the family's 1533-position model. The record is from RNAcentral.
AUUGAACGCUGGCGGCAGGCUUAACACAUGCAAGUCGAGCGAGCGGCGGACGGGUGAGUAAUGUCUGGGAAACUGCCUGCUGGAGAGGGAUAACUACUGGAAACGGUAGCUAAUACCGCAUACCAUCAGAUGUGCCCAGAUGGGCUUAGCUAGUAGGUGGGGUAAUGGCUCACCUAGGCGACGAUCCCUAGCUGGUAUGAGAGGAUGACCAGCCACAAUGGAAAUGAGACACGGUCCAGACUCCUACGGGAGGCAGCAGUGGGGAAUAUUGCACAAUGGGAGCAAGCCUGCUGCAGCCAUGCCGCGUGUGUGAAGAAGGCCUUAGGGGUGGAAAGCACUUUCAGCGAGGAGGCGUUACGCGCAGAAGAAGGACCGGCUAACACCGUGCCAGGAGCCGCGGUAAUAC